CCUACGGGAGGCAGCAGUGGGGAAUAUUGCACAAUGGGGGAAACCCUGAUGCAGCGACGCCGCGUGAGUGAAGAAGUAAUUCGUUAUGUAAAGCUCUAUCAGCAGGGAAGAAAAUGACGGUACCUGAGUAAGAAGCCCCGGCUAACUACGUGCCAGCAGCCGCGGUAAUACGUAGGGGGCAAGCGUUAUCCGGAUUUACUGGGUGUAAAGGGAGCGUAGACGGUAGUGCAAGUCUGGAGUGAAAGGCGGGGGCUCAACCCCCGGACUGCUCUGGAAACUGUACGGCUGGAGUACAGGAGAGGUAAGUGGAAUUCCUGGUGUAGCGGUGAAAUGCGUAGAUAUUAGGAAGAACACCAGUGGCGAAGGCGGCUUACUGAACUGUAACUGACGUUGAGGCUCGAAAGCGUGGGGAGCAAACAGGAUUAGAUACCCGAGUAGUC
This 440-nucleotide ribosomal RNA is filed under the name uncultured bacterium. RNAcentral's name for it is "partial 16S ribosomal RNA". It matches the Rfam family "Bacterial small subunit ribosomal RNA", at positions 338 to 795 of the family's 1533-position model. The record is from RNAcentral.